RNAcentral lists this ribosomal RNA (387 nucleotides) under Planctomycetota bacterium. RNAcentral describes it as "bacterial SSU rRNA". It matches the Rfam family "Bacterial small subunit ribosomal RNA", at positions 1 to 364 of the family's 1533-position model. Lineage: Bacteria; Pseudomonadati; Planctomycetota. The record is from RNAcentral.
AAAUUGAAGAGUUUGAUCCUGGCUCAGAACGAACGCUGGCGGCGUGGCUAAGACAUGCAAGUCGAACGGACCAUAUGAUUGAGUAAUCGAGAUUAUGGUUAGUGGCGAAAGGGUGAGGAAUGAAUAGGUAACGUACCCCGAAGUCCGGGAUAGCGUCUGAAUGCUUCGGCAUUCUUCCGAAAGGGGCGGUAAUACCGGAUGAUAUCAUCGCAUUUGAGUGCGGUGAUCAAAGAUUUAUCGCUUUGGGAGCGGCCUAUUUCCUAUCAGCUUGUUGGUGAGGUAACGGCUCACCAAGGCUACGACGGGUAGCGGGACUGAGAGGUUGACCCGCCACAUCGGGACUGAGACACUGCCCGGACCUCCACGGAGGGCUGCAGUAACGAAUAU